RNAcentral lists this ribosomal RNA (936 nucleotides) under uncultured marine bacterium. Its description in RNAcentral is "bacterial SSU rRNA". It matches the Rfam family "Bacterial small subunit ribosomal RNA", at positions 563 to 1498 of the family's 1533-position model. The record is from RNAcentral.
AAGCGUGCGUAGGCGGUUUAUCAAGUCAGAUGUGAAAUCCCCGGGCUUAACCUGGGAACUGCAUUUGAAACUGGUCAACUAGAGUAUGGUAGAGGACAGUGGAAUUUCUGGUGUAGCGGUGAAAUGCGUAGAUAUCAGAAGGAACAUCAAUGGCGAAGGCAGCUUUCUGGCCCAAUACUGACGCUGAGGUACGAAAGCGUGGGUAGCAAACAGGAUUAGAUACCCUGGUAGUCCACGCCGUAAACGAUGAUAACUAGCCGUUGGGGGGAUUUACCCUUUAGUGGCGAAGCUAACGCGUUAAGUUAUCCGCCUGGGGAGUACGGCCGCAAGGCUAAAACUCAAAGGAAUUGACGGGGACCCCGCACAAGCGGUGGAGCAUGUGGUUUAAUUCGAUGCAACGCGAAGAACCUUACCUGGUCUUGACAUCCUGCGAACUUUCUAGAAAUAGAUUGGUGCCUUCGGGAACGCAGUGACAGGUGCUGCAUGGCUGUCGUCAGCUCGUGUCGUGAGAUGUUGGGUUAAGUCCCGUAACGAGCGCAACCCCUAUCCUUAUUUGCCAGCACAUUAUGGUGGGAACUAUAAGGAGACUGCCGGUGAUAAACCGGAGGAAGGCGGGGAUGACGUCAAGUCAUCAUGGCCCUUACGACCAGGGCUACACACGUGCUACAAUGGGAAGGACAAAGAGCCGCGAAGCCGCGAGGUGUAGCUAAUCUCACAAAUCUUCUCGUAGUCCGGAUUGGAGUCUGCAACUCGACUCCAUGAAGUCGGAAUCGCUAGUAAUCGUGGAUCAGAAUGCUACGGUGAAUACGUUCCCGGGUCUUGUACACACCGCCCGUCAUACCAUGGGAGUGGGUUGCACCAGAAGUGGCUAGUCUAACUUAGUGAGGACAGUCACCACGGUGUGAUUCAUGACUGGGGUAAAGUCGUAACAAGGUA